Molecule: ribosomal RNA, 339 nt
Filed under: Acinetobacter baumannii
Lineage: Bacteria; Pseudomonadati; Pseudomonadota; Gammaproteobacteria; Moraxellales; Moraxellaceae
Description: partial 23S ribosomal RNA
Rfam family: Bacterial large subunit ribosomal RNA
Source: RNAcentral
CGUAGAGAAAUCGAGUCUUAAUAGGGCGUUUAGUUGCUGGGUAUAGACCCGAAACCAGGCGAUCUAUCCAUGAGCAGGUUGAAGGUUGGGUAACACUAACUGGAGGACCGAACCCACUGUCGUUGAAAAGCCAGGGGAUGACUUGUGGAUAGGGGUGAAAGGCUAAUCAAGCCUGGUGAUAGCUGGUUCUCCCCGAAAGCUAUUUAGGUAGCGCCUCGGACGAAUACCAUAGGGGGUAGAGCACUGUUUCGGCUAGGGGGUCAUCCCGACUUACCAAACCGAUGCAAACUCCGAAUACCUAUGAGUACUAUCCGGGAGACAGACUGCGGGUGCUAACGU